RNAcentral lists this ribosomal RNA (397 nucleotides) under uncultured Chrysophyceae. RNAcentral's name for it is "partial small subunit ribosomal RNA". It matches the Rfam family "Eukaryotic small subunit ribosomal RNA", at positions 30 to 432 of the family's 1831-position model. The record is from RNAcentral. Lineage: Eukaryota; Chrysophyceae.
GCUUGUCUCAAAGAUUAAGCCAUGCAUGUCUAAGUAUAAACAAAUUUGUACUGUGAAACUGCGAAUGGCUCAUUAAAUCAGUUAAAGUUUAUUUGAUAGUACCUUACUACUUGGAUAACCGUAGUAAUUCUAGAGCUAAUACAUGCGAAAAGACCCGACUUUUUGGAAGGGUUGUAUUUAUUAGAUACAAAACCAAUGCGGAGCAAUCCGGUUUGUGGUGAUUCAUAAUAACUUUCGGAUCGAUCUUCGGAUCGAUGCAUCAUUCAAGUUUCUGCCCUAUCAGCUUUGGAUGGUAGGGUAUUGGCCUACCAUGGCUUUAACGGGUAACGGAGAAUUAGGGUUCGAUUCCGGAGAGGGAGCCUGAGAAAUGGCUACCACAUCCAAGGAAGGCAGCAGG